CUCGGCAUGCAAUGGUUGCUGAUUACAACUCUAUGUUGGAGUAGAAUUUGGUCCCCUGCUUCUGUCAAUGCGUUCCAUCCUCACCACAUCAGCGUGGAGUAAUGGGAAGAAUGAUUCGUCUCAUUCUGUAGGAUCCAGUCGAGGAGCUCAUAUUACUUCAGGCUAUGUUUCAAGAGUACGGGUAAAACACAAAGGAGUCACUAAGCAUGGAAGUGGCAAGAAGGAUGAUGUGGGGAAGAGACAGAGAAAGACUUCCAAAAAAAAGGUGGUGGUCCUAACUGAAUAA
RNAcentral lists this long non-coding RNA (286 nucleotides) under Capra hircus (goat). RNAcentral's name for it is "lncRNA (ENSCHIG00000002819.1)". The record is from RNAcentral. Lineage: Eukaryota; Metazoa; Chordata; Mammalia; Artiodactyla; Bovidae.